AACGCACCUUGCGCCUCUUGGUAUUCCGAGAGGCAUGCCUGUUUGAGUGUCUUAUAAAAUCAAUCCCCACGGGUUUCUUGACCCGGCGGUGGACUUGGAGUUGGGCGUUUGCCGGUCACACGGCUCGCCUUAAAGACCUUAGUGGGAUCGAUGGCCUAUGGCUUGACGUAAUAAGUUCUCGCAACCCUCCACUCUAACACACUUUAUAUUCUGACCUCCAAUCAGGUAGGACUACCCGCUGAACUUAA
Molecule: unclassified non-coding RNA, 248 nt
Filed under: uncultured fungus
Lineage: Eukaryota; Fungi
Description: partial contains 5.8S ribosomal RNA, internal transcribed spacer 2, and large subunit ribosomal RNA
Rfam family: 5.8S ribosomal RNA (bases 1-52)
Source: RNAcentral